RNAcentral lists this ribosomal RNA (379 nucleotides) under uncultured eukaryote. RNAcentral's name for it is "partial 18S ribosomal RNA". It matches the Rfam family "Eukaryotic small subunit ribosomal RNA", at positions 592 to 976 of the family's 1831-position model. The record is from RNAcentral.
CAAUAGCGUAUAUUAAAGUUGUUGCGGUAAAAAAGCUCGUAGUUGGAUUUCUGUUGAGAGCGACCGGUCCAUACCAUGUAUGCGUAUCUGGCUUGCUCUCGGCAUCCUCUCGAUAGACGUUACUGCGCUUGAUUGCGUGGUGCGGAUCUCGGGACUUUUACUUUGAGGAAAUUAGAGUGUUCACGGCAGGCUUUCGCCAGAAUACAUUAGCAUGGAAUAAUACUAUAGGAUCUUGGUUCUAUUUUGUUGGUUUCUAGAAUUGAGAUAAUGAUUAAUAGGGACAAUUGGGGGCAUUCGUAUCAACACGUCAGAGGUGGAAUUCUUGGAUUGUGAUGCGACGAACUACUGCGAAAGCAUUUGCCAAGGAUGUUUUCAUUGA